UCCUCAACUUGUAAUGUCUUCAGAGGCCUCUUGAAUCUUCAUUCAUUGUCUUCUCAAUUCUUCACGAGGUGCUUUGGUUUGCCAAAUUACAUGAUUUUGCAGUGAAUUAGAUCAAAACCAUGCUAAUAAUUGCUUGGUUUCGGUAAAACUAGAACUACAUGACUCGGUAUGGAAAUAUCAAAAAAUAUCCCUUAAACCAUAGGCAAUUGUUCUAAAAAUCCUCUAGUUUGGGUCAAAUCAAAACUAAAAUGACUGAAAAAUUGCUGAAAAUAACGUAAGAUGACAUGUCAUCCUGCGACUUGUGUUAAACGAGGGUGAUAAGCCUUACACCACAAAGGAAAUCAUUACAAAAAAUUUGAAAAAUAGAAACGAAUGGCCAAUGUAAGAUGUUUUCUCUCGGUAGGGGAUACAACGAAUCCUCAUUUGCAUCAAUGAAGGAUUUACGAAUGGUUUUGGCAUUAGGAACAAUUAACUUGAAACCUGCGGUUCUUCAACUAUUUGAGUGUAUUGAGGAUUUCAAUGCUUCCAUGCAACGUUAGAAAAAUGCUCAAGUAUGAAUAAGUUUAAUGAUAGUUCUAAAAAAAUUUGUGUGUUUUGCCAAUAUGCACGUCUGUUGGUGGAUAUGGACCUUUCGCCUAAUAUUUUUCAUGAGAUAUUGGUGACAAGGGAAGCAAAGAGAACAUAUCCUAAAACAAUUCAACUUUUGGAAUGCUACGAAAACAUCUACAAGAGAAGUGAAGUGACCUAAAAGUAGGACAUUUCUCGAAUCAUAACACAUAUGGGCUCGGUCCCUACCAGCUCAUGGGUUCUUAAAGUACUUCACAUUUUCAGGCUUGAUGCUUGGGGCGUUCUUAAAUAGAUUAGUGGAUCGACCCAUAUCCUUGUUACUCUUAAGGGAUAAAAGGCUACAAAAAUAUCUAUAAAAUUAAAAUAGAACAAAAAUUUUAAAAUAUUAUUAUUUAUUGCCUUAUUUCAUUUCAUUACCAUCAUCUUAUAAUACAAAUCCAUAAAUACAAGGUUCUUCACAUUAGGAAAAAAAAAAUUCAAACUAUUGGAGUACCAAGACAAUAACAAAAUGACAUCUCAUGGAAUAUUCAAGAAGGAAUAUAAUUUGUGUACGCUCUUUAGUAUGGAAAACAUACAUACUCAUGUAUGCACAUAAUCUGUUUUGGAGAACUCUCGUAUACAUUUAUAUAUUGUAACCAAAAAAAAUACAUUUACAUAUGG
RNAcentral lists this long non-coding RNA (1227 nucleotides) under Medicago truncatula (barrel medic). RNAcentral describes it as "long non-coding RNA (MTRU_LNC001753)". The record is from RNAcentral. Lineage: Eukaryota; Viridiplantae; Streptophyta; Magnoliopsida; Fabales; Fabaceae.